GCCUGGGUGGCUCAGUCGGUUAAGCGUCCGACUUUGGCUCAGGUCAUGAUCUCACGGUUUGUGGGUUCGAGCCCCACGUCGGGCU
This 85-nucleotide transfer RNA is filed under the name Felis catus (domestic cat). It matches the Rfam family "tRNA". Rfam says of the family: Transfer RNA (tRNA) molecules are approximately 80 nucleotides in length. The record is from Rfam by way of RNAcentral. Lineage: Eukaryota; Metazoa; Chordata; Mammalia; Carnivora; Felidae.